Myotis brandtii (Brandt's bat) is the source of this 64-nucleotide non-coding RNA. The record is from Rfam. NCBI's taxonomy places the organism in Eukaryota, Metazoa, Chordata, Mammalia, Chiroptera, Vespertilionidae.
GGCCUCCCUCUGCAGGGCGAUCAAUUGUGGGGCCCCCCGAUUGAUUGCCCUGCAGAGGAAGGCC